This 239-nucleotide ribosomal RNA is filed under the name uncultured bacterium. Its description in RNAcentral is "partial 16S ribosomal RNA". It matches the Rfam family "Bacterial small subunit ribosomal RNA", at positions 791 to 1035 of the family's 1533-position model. The record is from RNAcentral.
UAGUCCACACGGUAAACGAUGAAUACUCGCUGUUGGCGAUAUACAGUCAGCGGCCAAGCGAAAGCAUUAAGUAUUCCACCUGGGGAGUACGCCGGCAACGGUGAAACUCAAAGGAAUUGACGGGGGCCCGCACAAGCGGAGGAACAUGUGGUUUAAUUCGAUGAUACGCGAGGAACCUUACCCGGGCUUAAAUUGCACUGGACCGUUCUGGAAACAGGACUUUCUUCGGACCAGUGUGA